GGCCUGCAUCAGGAGUUGGGGCGACGCCCAACGCCAACCUGCCGUGCCGGGCAAGGUGGCGCUCCCGCAAGGGAGGAUGUGGCCAGACCGGCAACCAAGCGGAUCAUG
Molecule: non-coding RNA, 108 nt
Filed under: Komagataeibacter nataicola
Lineage: Bacteria; Pseudomonadati; Pseudomonadota; Alphaproteobacteria; Acetobacterales; Acetobacteraceae
Description: SAM-I-IV sequence
Rfam family: SAM-I/IV (S-adenosyl methionine) riboswitch aptamer
About the family: It is found upstream of a number of genes which code for proteins involved in methionine or cysteine biosynthesis.
Source: RNAcentral